CCGCAUCUUUGACAGCCUGGGCUCUCUGUUGUGGGAUACCCUGGGUUUUAAUAAUUUUGAUGCAAAAUUAAAUGUCCCUGCGCUUUCUGCCCGCCUCCUUCCAUGGCGUCUCGGAUUGAAUCGGGGAGGAUAAAU
This is a small nucleolar RNA of Eleginops maclovinus (Patagonian blennie), 135 nucleotides long. RefSeq annotates it as small nucleolar RNA SNORA31. The record is from RefSeq and is a predicted model, not a curated record. The transcript has a single exon. Lineage: Eukaryota; Metazoa; Chordata; Actinopteri; Perciformes; Eleginopidae.